AGGGUCAGGCAGUGAAAAAUAGAAUCCAAGUGCAGAAGAGACAGGCAUGUGACUUGGAGUGUGUGAUUGCCAUUAAACAGUACUGUUUCAUCAAAGGUUAUACCAGGACAAAGAGUACAACCAAAGCUGCAUUUUUUGGCAGUGGUUUAAAAAACAUUGUGUAUUCUCAUGAAAGCUAUAUCAGAAAUAAUGAUAAAAAUACUUGUCUGGAACCCCAAACACUUAUUAAAUCAGCAGUCACUGAAAUGAAACAACCCAAGACAGGUGCACCUGGAUAGACCCUGAGAGACCAUGAAGCCCUGCAUUAAGGCACUGCACAGUUCAGUUGAACAAGCACAGCAGAGAAGAGGAGGAGAAUGGGCAAGUCUGUGUUUGCUUGUUUUUUUUUUUUUUUUAAGACUUAUUAAUUUAUUUAAAGUCAGAGUUACACAGAGAGAGGAGAGGCAGAAAAAGAGAGAGGUCUUCUAUCCGCUGGUUCACUCCCCAAUUGUCCCCAGUUGGCCAGAGGGCCAGAGCUGCACCAAUCCAAAGCCAGGAGCCAGGAGCUUCUUCCAGGUCUCCCACAUCAGUGCAGGGGCCCAGGGACUUGGACCAUCUUCGACUGCUUUCCCAGGCCAUAGCAGAGAGCUGGAUCGGAAGUGA
Molecule: long non-coding RNA, 642 nt
Filed under: Oryctolagus cuniculus (rabbit)
Lineage: Eukaryota; Metazoa; Chordata; Mammalia; Lagomorpha; Leporidae
Description: lncRNA (ENSOCUG00000034075.1)
Source: RNAcentral